This 253-nucleotide ribosomal RNA is filed under the name uncultured bacterium. RNAcentral describes it as "partial 16S ribosomal RNA". It matches the Rfam family "Bacterial small subunit ribosomal RNA", at positions 524 to 776 of the family's 1533-position model. The record is from RNAcentral.
UACGGAGGAGGCAAGCGUUAUCCGGAAUUAUUGGGCGUAAAGCGUCCGUAGGCGGUUCAACAAGUCUGCGGUUAAAGACGGAAGCUUAACUUCCGAGAGGCCGUGGAAACUGUUGGACUAGAGAGCGACAGGGGCAGAGGGAAUUCCCAGUGUAGCGGUGAAAUGCGUAGAGAUUGGGAAGAACACCAGUGGCGAAAGCGCUCUGCCGGGUCGCGACUGACGCUCUUGGACGAAAGCUAGGGGAGCGAAAGGG